GAAGGUUGUUGGGGUAGGAAGAGAAUGAAACCAACCAACCUUCAACAAGUUUGAUCUUGCCUUUUUUUCAUUACUAAUCUCUACACACUAAACUCAGAAGAAAUCAUCUGAUUUUGAUGAAUUUUUGGCACUCUCUUGAGAAGCAACUUUGCUUGGUAAACCUUUUUACAUUGAGGGGAUGUUUGGAACCUUGAAGAUUGAUUUUAGGAAUGGACAUAGGAAUCAAAAGUUUAUUGUUGUGGAAUCCAAAUUCCAUUUUUACUUGGAUUUUUAUUUUUUAUUCCUCUUUUCUUCAUGGUAUCAUGCUUCCAUUUUCAUCCCAUGUUCAUUUAUUGGAGGAAAUCUAUCAAAGGUGAAUUUUUUAUUCACAUUAGGGUAUGUUUAAUAGUAGAAGAAAUAGAACAAAAGGAGUUACUGUCAUCAAUAAUUACAUUGGAUUUAUUUUUUAG
RNAcentral lists this long non-coding RNA (449 nucleotides) under Vitis vinifera (wine grape). Its description in RNAcentral is "long non-coding RNA (VVIN_LNC001110)". Lineage: Eukaryota; Viridiplantae; Streptophyta; Magnoliopsida; Vitales; Vitaceae. The record is from RNAcentral.